Monopterus albus (swamp eel) is the source of this 679-nucleotide long non-coding RNA. RefSeq lists it as uncharacterized. The record is from RefSeq and is a predicted model, not a curated record. The transcript has 3 exons. Lineage: Eukaryota; Metazoa; Chordata; Actinopteri; Synbranchiformes; Synbranchidae.
AAAGACAGAAGUUGUGGUCAAACCCUGGACCUGGAAAUUCCUUCAACCGAGGGCCAAUCAGAACAGGCUUUCUGAGGUCAAAGGACAACAGGGCCCGACCUGUGGAAACAGAGAUGUUGACACAGAGGCAGAGCCCGACUACAGCACAGCGACACUCCUGGGUAAAGAACACGCUGCUGUGCAGUUUAAAGACAAGAGAUUUCUGCAGGAAAAACUAAGGAUAUAUACAGACAGAAGACACAGGGGGAGAGAAAGAGAGAUAAGCUUGGACAAAGGUGCCAUCUGGAAACAAGCUGGAUAUGCUGUGGUUAUAUGGCGUGAGUCUUAAGCCCUAGAGCUGAGCAAAAAGUGUGCAUUUAUACAGUAUCUUUACUUUUUCUGCUUUGCCUUUAGAAACUCAGUAUGGCUACUAAAGCUGCACAGUGUAAUUACAACAUAAUGACAUUGCAAUUUAACAUUUCCAUAAAAAAAACAUUAACUUUGUUAUCAGUUAGAAAUGAUCUAAUUUUAGUGAUACCAUUAUCUACAGACAUCAUUGUGCGCACGCUUCAUCACAUUCAUAAGAAUGCAUCAAACAGCUGCUGUGGCUUCUGAUGUUGAUGUUGACAUGGUGCUUCUGCUGUGCCAGUUGAUCACAUUCACAGACGCAGAGGUGGAAAGUAACUAAGCACAUUUACUC